AUCAUGCACCCGCAGUACAACAAUGCCACGAUUAACAACGACAUCGCCCCCAUUCGCGUCUCGUCACCUGUGAACCUCGACUUGCCUGGAAUCAUGCCCGAUGCCUCCCAUCUUCCACGGACAAUUUUGAAAA
Molecule: long non-coding RNA, 133 nt
Organism: Penaeus monodon (black tiger shrimp)
Lineage: Eukaryota; Metazoa; Arthropoda; Malacostraca; Decapoda; Penaeidae
Exons: 2
Source: RefSeq, a predicted model, not a curated record